CGCGGCCUAUCAGCUUGUUGGUGAGGUAACGGCUCACCAAGGCAUCGACGGGUAGCUGGUCUGAGAGGACGAUCAGCCACACUGGGACUGAGACACGGCCCAGACUCCUACGGGAGGCAGCAGCAGGGAAUAUUGCGCAAUGGGCGAAAGCCUGACGCAGCGACACCGCGUGAAGGAUGAAGGCCCUCGGGUUGUAAACUUCUUUCAGUGGGGAAGAAGCGAAAGUGACGGUACCCACAGAAGAAGCCCCGGCCAACUACGUGCCAGCAGCCGCGGUAAUACGUAGGGGGCAAGCGUUGUCCGGAUUCAUUGGGCGUAAAGAGCUCGUAGGCGGCUUGGCAAGUCGGUCGUGAAAUACCGAGGCUCAACCUCGGGAGGCCGGUCGAAACUGCUGUGGCUAGGGUCCGGUAGAGGAGAGUGGAAUUCCCGGUGUAGCGGUGAAAUGCGCAGAUAUCGGGAGGAACACCAGUAGCGAAGGCGGCUCUCUGGGCCGGUACCGACGCUGAGGAGCGAAAGCUAGGGGAGCAAACAGGAUUAGAUACCCUGGUAGUCCUAGCCGUAAACGUUGGGCACUAGGUGUGGCGGAUUCAUUGACAUCUGCCGUGCCGAAGCUAACGCAUUAAGUGCCCCGCCUGGGGAGUACGG
RNAcentral lists this ribosomal RNA (645 nucleotides) under uncultured bacterium. RNAcentral describes it as "bacterial SSU rRNA". It matches the Rfam family "Bacterial small subunit ribosomal RNA", at positions 232 to 885 of the family's 1533-position model. The record is from RNAcentral.